CCUACGGGGGGCAGCAGUGAGGAAUAUUGGUCAAUGGGCGCGAGCCUGAACCAGCCAAGUAGCGUGAAGGAUGACUGCCCUACGGGUUGUAAACUUCUUUUAUACAGGAAUAAACUGAGGCACGUGUGCCUUUUUGUAUGUACUUUAUGAAUAAGGAUCGGCUAACUCCGUGCCAGCAGCCGCGGUAAUACGGAGGAUCCGAGCGUUAUCCGGAUUUAUUGGGUUUAAAGGGUGCGUAGAUGGGUUGUUAAGUCAGAUGUGAAAGUUUGCGGCUCAACCGUAAAAUUGCAAUUGAUACUGGCGGCCUAGAGAACAGUUGCGGUAGGCGGAAUUCGUGGUGUAGCGGUGAAAUGCUUAGAGAUCACGAAGAACUCCGAUUGCGAAGGCAGCCUACUAAACUGCCACUGACAUUGAGGCACGAAAGUGUGGGUAUCAAACAGGAUUAGAUACCCCGGUAGUC
This 460-nucleotide ribosomal RNA is filed under the name uncultured bacterium. RNAcentral's name for it is "partial 16S ribosomal RNA". It matches the Rfam family "Bacterial small subunit ribosomal RNA", at positions 338 to 795 of the family's 1533-position model. The record is from RNAcentral.